GAUGAAUGCUGGCGGCGUGGAUAAGGCAUGCAAGUCGAGUGGGUUUAGACCCACGGCGAACGAGGUAGUAACACGUAGGAAUUCACCCUCAAGUCGGGGAUAACCUGCCGAAAGGCAGAAUAAUACUCGAUGGUCUCGCGAGAGUAAAGAUUUAUCGCUUGAGGAGAAGCCUGCGGGAUAUCAGCUAGUUGGUAAGGUAAUGGCUUACCAAGGCUAUGACGUCUAGGGGAGGUGAGAGCCUGGCCCCCACCGAUGGUACUGAGACACGGACCAUACACCUACGGGUGGCUGCAGUCGAGAAUCUUCCGCAAUGGGCGAAAGCCUGACGGAGCGACGCCGCGUGAUGGAUGAAGUUCUUCGGGACGUAAACAUCUUUUAUGAGGGAGAAAUUUAUUGAUAGUACCUCAUGAAUAAGGACCUGCUAAACUCGUGCCAGCAGCAGCGGUAAUACGAGUGGUCCAGCAUUAUCCGGAAUUAUUGGGCGUAAAGGGUGCGUAGGUGGUCUUGUUAGUCUCUUGUUAAAACUCCCGGCCUAACCGGGAAGCUGCGAGAGAUACGGCAAGACUUGAGGGUGUAAGAGGCUUAUGGAACUCAUGGUGUAGGGGUGAAAUCCGUUGAUAUCAUGGGGAACACCAAAUGCGAAGGCAAUAAGCUGGUGCACACCUGACACUGAGUGCACGAAAGCGUGGGUUUCGAACGGGAUUAGAUACCCCGGUAGUCCACGCCCUAAACGAUGAUCACUAGCUUUUCGGAGUAUCGACCCUCUGAGAGGCGAAGCUAACGCGUUAAGUGAUCCGCCUGGGAAGUACGGCCGCAAGGCUAAAACUCAAAAGAAUAGACGGGGACUUGCACAAGCAGUGGAUCAUGUGGUUUAAUUCGACGAUAAACGAAGAACCUCACCAGGGCUAGAAAUCCAGACGAAGUCCAUCAGAAACGAUGGAUGUCUCACAAGGACGGCUGGACAGGUGAUGCAUGGCUGUCGUCAGUUCGUGGUUUGAAUUGUUCCCUUAAGUGGGGUAACGAACGCAACCCCUGUCGCGUGUUAUAAGUGUCACGCGAGACUGCUCUGUUUAACAGAGAGGAAGCGGGGAUGACGCCAAGUCAGCAUGUCCCUCUGACGCCCUGGGCUACACACAUGAUACAAUCGCCGUUACAACAGGUCGCGACGGGGAAACCCUGAGCUAAUCCUUAAAAAGCGGCGCCAGUUCGGAUUGAGGUCUGCAACUCGACCUCAUGAAGCCGGAAUUGCUAGUAAUCGCGGGUCAGCUAUACCGCGGUGAAUACGUUCUCAAGUCUUGUACUCACCGCCCGUCAAGCCAGGGGAGCCGGUAGUACCCGAAGUGUCCUCUCGGGGAUCCUAAGGUAAGAUCGGUAAC
This 1376-nucleotide ribosomal RNA is filed under the name uncultured bacterium. RNAcentral describes it as "16S ribosomal RNA". It matches the Rfam family "Bacterial small subunit ribosomal RNA". The record is from RNAcentral.